Carassius carassius (crucian carp) is the source of this 423-nucleotide long non-coding RNA. RefSeq lists it as uncharacterized. NCBI's taxonomy places the organism in Eukaryota, Metazoa, Chordata, Actinopteri, Cypriniformes, Cyprinidae. The record is from RefSeq and is a predicted model, not a curated record. The transcript has 2 exons.
UUAGUAUGAUUUUAUUUUGCAUAUUCACUAUAUUUUUUUUCCACUGGAAGAAACCACAGCUAUUAAAAUGUCAAAAUACUUAUUUAGACCUUACUUAUGUGUAGUAUAUGCUUUAAAGUACUAAUGUAAGCAAUGUGGUUGUUGAAUAAUUUAUCAUGGAAAAAGUUUGGUUUCUUGGUAUUAGGUUCCAUUGAAAAAAAGAAACGGACAUGGUAGCAUUAUCAGCCGUACGGGAUUGUUGUUUAAUUAUGAAAUGGGGUGAAAUGGGAGGGGAGCAUUGUACAUUGUGUCCUGCUGCUAUUCAAUAUUAGGAUGCAACUUUCACAAAAUCUUAACAUAGGGCUCAUGUCAUUUAAACUGAGAAAGACAUUAGUGUGCACGCUACACAAAGCAUGUAUUUUCUUAAUAAACCUAUUUUCAUGA